UCACCAUGAAGUACCCACUCAUUACGCGGUGCAAACUGCCCCUGCUUACCAUGCCGCUCCAGCGAUCCACUCUGCUCCUAUCCACACAUCAAUCAUCCACCCUGCGCCUGUUAUCCAUGCCGCACAAGUAGCCCAUGCCCCUGUCCACUCUGCGCCAGAACACGCUGCCCCGGUUGCUCAUAGCUCGGGUCACGAAGAAGAUCACUACGUUGGCGAAUACGCUCACCCCAAAUACGGCUACUCGUACUCAGUAGAAGACCCCCAUACUGGUGACCAUAAAUCCCAUCACGAAAACCGCGACGGUGACGUAGUCAAGGGCGAAUACUCUUUUCUUCAGCCUGAUGGCUCUUUCCGCAAGGUGACUUACACUGCUGACCAUCAUAAUGGAUUCAACGCUGUCGUCCACAACUCGCCUCCAGUCAUCCAUCAUCAUUAGAGCUUGUCAACUGAACUGUGAUAUUAGUGUAGAUAAUUUAGUUCUCUAGAUAAGCUUAUAAAUACCAGUGUAUUCUUCGUGAUCUUCGGCUCUUGUAACUUUUGCUUUAUUAUUAAUAAAAUGUAUGAUGGGUUUCAUUAAUACAUAAUAUCAACAUGGUGUAAUGGUUCUCGAAAAAAUUUAUCAGAUGAUUCUCAAUUUAAACAUUUGUUUAUUUGAUGCAAUAUUGUUACACCUGCCAAAAUAUGUAAGAAUUUUAAUGAGUGUGUUUUUUGAAUGUUUUGUGUGGUGAUAUAUUUUAUAUUAUUGUAUGAGUGUAUGUGAAACCCAACACUUUGAAUAAAAUAUCUUUAUACUUUAAA
Long non-coding RNA from Melitaea cinxia (Glanville fritillary), 798 nucleotides. RefSeq lists it as uncharacterized. The transcript has 3 exons. The record is from RefSeq and is a predicted model, not a curated record. NCBI's taxonomy places the organism in Eukaryota, Metazoa, Arthropoda, Insecta, Lepidoptera, Nymphalidae.